RNAcentral lists this non-coding RNA (103 nucleotides) under Pongo abelii (Sumatran orangutan). RNAcentral's name for it is "Mitochondrial DNA control region secondary structure A". It matches the Rfam family "Mitochondrial DNA control region secondary structure A". Lineage: Eukaryota; Metazoa; Chordata; Mammalia; Primates; Hominidae. The record is from Rfam by way of RNAcentral.
UACUUUCAAGGGGAACUAGAUUUGGGUGCCACCCAAGUACUGACUCACUCACAACGACCCAUGUAUUUCGUGCAUUACUGCCAGUCAACAUGAAUAUUAUCUA